UGGUAUGCUAGCCUGGGGCGUUAGCCCUGCCCUGUCAGCGUCAACGGGCUUUAUGGCGCAGGCGAAGCUGGGGAGGCGGCUUGUCGCGUGUGGCAGGGUCCUUGCGCGGCUGUCGAUACUCUGUCCUCAUUGGCUGGGGCUUUGUCGAAUCGAGUCAGGCCUUGAUCGGAGCAGCUCUAAGUCAGGUUCCUGGUGCUAUGGGGGUGGCGGAGAGGAGGUCGCACAGGGGCUACGCCCUGGUGCGCGUGUAGAGGUCCACUUCCCGGCGUGCAUGCCA
This 277-nucleotide signal recognition particle RNA is filed under the name Nitrosarchaeum sp. Its description in RNAcentral is "signal recognition particle sRNA". It matches the Rfam family "Archaeal signal recognition particle RNA". Lineage: Archaea; Thermoproteati; Nitrososphaerota; Nitrososphaeria; Nitrosopumilales; Nitrosopumilaceae. The record is from RNAcentral.